RNAcentral lists this long non-coding RNA (496 nucleotides) under Linum usitatissimum (flax). RNAcentral describes it as "long non-coding RNA (LUSI_LNC002235)". Lineage: Eukaryota; Viridiplantae; Streptophyta; Magnoliopsida; Malpighiales; Linaceae. The record is from RNAcentral.
CCUUCUGUAGUUCUCUAACCACAACUCUGAACACGCCACAUUCUCCUUCCUCCAAGCGCCCAUUAUUGCCUUCUUCUCGGAGCUUGCUUCUCUCACCUGCAACCCCAUAAGAGCAGUGUACUAUUCCCCCCCGUCUCCUUCCCUCUCUGUCUCUCACUCUCGCUCUCCUUGUCCCUCUAGGUUUUAAGUUGAGGGGAAUGCCGUGGUUGGAGCUGAACCUUAGAUCUAAGUCCUCACUGCUAUUCUCUGCGGGAGGAAGCUUGUAGUUGGAGAAUCAAUCAUUGCGGUAUUUGUUAUUUCUUUAUCCGUUGUUGGUGGUUGGAUGAAGUAAAUGAGAAGCGAAGCUAAGUUAUAGUUCCCUCUGUUACUUUCUUCUUUUCCCCUUUUGAUCUGUAAGGCUGGUUCCUGUAUAAUUUGUUUGGCGGAAGAGGAAAAAAAAUAUGAAUAGGAGUUUUAGGGGUCAGGACUCUCAGCAUAUGCAGCAGCAAAUGCAAGC